RNAcentral lists this long non-coding RNA (1051 nucleotides) under Heterocephalus glaber (naked mole-rat). Its description in RNAcentral is "lncRNA (ENSHGLG00100038531.1)". The record is from RNAcentral. Lineage: Eukaryota; Metazoa; Chordata; Mammalia; Rodentia; Bathyergidae.
CUCCAGUGUAGAGACCAUUUAGCAACAGGUAGCAUUCGGCAUUUCCUGUGUGCUGGGCGCUCCACGGGGGCCUGUGCGCUUCCCACAGCUGGGUAUUUCUUGUUGGUUUGUCUCAUAUAGGCCAGGGUGUGGAAUGCUGAAAGAACUGUGCAUGGGAGCAGAUCUGCACCAACGGGUGUGCUCAGAGUCGCACAGUGGGAAGACGGGGCUGCUGUCACCCUUAUUCCUGUGUUAGAGAAGAAACCAAGACUCCGGAGAUCACACAGCCUGUCUGACAGCAGGAGGCAGGCGACAGAACUAGAAACCAGGAUCCAAGCGGUGUGACUGCUGCAGUUCAGGUCUCAAAUGUCCCCAAAGGCCGGAUGUGCCAGGCUGGGCCCCCGGGGGAGUUCGGUCACAGGUUCGUGCCCUUGGAGGACUUUGGGAGCUGCCUCUUUCUCACUCUGCUCCCAGGUCCCCAGAGGGUGAGCAGCUCUCCCAGGACACCUUGUGCCAUGCCAUGCUGCUUCCACAGGCCGAGCACAGGGCUAAGCUGGCUUGGGCAGAACUUUUCAUUUUAAUAAGUUGGCUCCCUCAGGUGUUUUGUUACGGUGAUGGAUAAAAGCAGACUCACCUGGAACCUCCCGAGUGUGGGAAUUACAGGUAUGCACCACCGAGGCCGGCUCAGCAUGGAUUCUAAACUCAUCACCAGGCUGGGAUCCACGCAGAAUGGGGUGAGGAGACCCCGUCGGAGAGUGGGAGCAUCGGGGUGACUGAUGAUGUCUUCCUCACAGGGGACCUGGGGGAGGCUGGAGGCCACCAGCCACCUCAGGACUGCUGGGCCCUGUCGGCAUGGGCUUGGCAUCCUGUUGUCCCAGUAUGGCCCGGUCAGCGGGUCCCAGGGGCCCCCUGGUGUGGCCUCUCUGGUGCUCUGUCCAUGUGCGCUGGGCCAUCUGUCAUGGGUUCACAGUCCCAGUAAACAGCAGUUUGGUUUCUUGAAUCAUGGCUUUCAGACUGGAGCUAAUUGUCACAAGGUUGUUCCUCAUUAGUAAAAUGCCUGUUGUUAGAGAAA